AAGUCGUAACAAGGUUUCCGUAGGUGAACCUGCGGAAGGAUCAUUAACACAAGUAAAAAAACAUUUUACAACACCCUAUUUAUGAAUUUAAAUUUUUUAAUUUUAAUUUUUUUUAUAAAACUACAAAAAAAAUAUUUAAUUUAUUUGACUAACAUUUUUUUAAUUUAUUUAUUUAAAAUUUUAUAAAACAACUCUUAACAACGGAUAUCUUGGCUCUC
Molecule: unclassified non-coding RNA, 218 nt
Filed under: fungal sp.
Lineage: Eukaryota; Fungi
Description: partial internal transcribed spacer region
Rfam family: Eukaryotic small subunit ribosomal RNA (bases 1-46)
Source: RNAcentral